Molecule: long non-coding RNA, 469 nt
Filed under: Brachypodium distachyon (stiff brome)
Lineage: Eukaryota; Viridiplantae; Streptophyta; Magnoliopsida; Poales; Poaceae
Description: long non-coding RNA (BDIS_LNC002389)
Source: RNAcentral
CCUAUCUUAACUUGUCACCAAACAAUUCCAGGCUAUAUAGUUGGCCUCAAUGCAGGUUUGGAACGACAGAAACAAGUCACAACACACCAGCAGCUUCAAGAAAAACAGCCAUGGUCGCACACAAGAAUGUCGGUGUGGCGGCGCUCCUUCUCCUUCUCCUGUCGUUGAUGCUCUCCUCCGCCAUGUCCGCGCGAAACUUGUCUGGUGGCCCUCUCGUCUUGCCGGUGCUGAGGCUGUCUCCCGGCGGCCCGGACCCCAUACACCAUGACCUCCCGAAGCCACCCCAUCGGCCGCCGGUGCCUUUUCGGAUCAUCGGCCCUGUUGGACAGAAACUGAUACACAACAAUGAUCCUGAAACGCCGCCACCACACCGCCCGCCUCCGGUAUCGUCGUAGGCGUUGUGUAUUGUUGCUAGCUCAGUGAUGACAUAUAUAUAUAUAUGCACUCUUACAUGUAAGCUAUUACAGGA